UAUUAUAGAUUAAUAACAAUACAUUAAUGAAACUGACUUGACUUGAUUUGAAAGCUUUGUAAAAAGGGGAUAUUUGUGGUGAGAAAUAAAUGUAAAAAAUUUAAUUUAGUGUCAGAAACAGAGCCAGGACCCAGUUGUGAAGAGACU
This is a long non-coding RNA of Sander lucioperca (pikeperch), 147 nucleotides long. RefSeq lists it as uncharacterized. NCBI's taxonomy places the organism in Eukaryota, Metazoa, Chordata, Actinopteri, Perciformes, Percidae. The record is from RefSeq and is a predicted model, not a curated record. The transcript is spliced from 3 exons.